AAUGUUAAAUUCUAAAAUGCAUAGAGUUUGUCUUAAUUAAUGAAGUUUAAAGGGAAUAAGGCACCAAAAGGGAGUUGGGGAGCGUUUGGGGAACAUCUGUAACGGUUCCCUUUACAAUUAGCCCUAGUUUAUUUUAUUAUUAUUAUUCUUUUUUCUUCUUAUUUCUUCUCCGGUACUUUUUUGUCCGCGAGUGUUCACGGAAACUGCUCAUUCAAUUGAGUUAAAACCUUUUUAGGGUUAAUAGGCAUGUUAUGUAGAUUUGCGGAACAAAGGUCAUUUUGCGCGCACGUGCAUGCACGUGCGUGCGCGUGCAAUGGGUAAAAUGACCAAUAUACUUGAUAUAGCUGUAAUUUUUAUAUUUUUUGGUGAAAUGCUUUGAUACUCAGAAUAUAAGGAUAUAUUAAA
Molecule: long non-coding RNA, 405 nt
Organism: Saccostrea echinata
Lineage: Eukaryota; Metazoa; Mollusca; Bivalvia; Ostreida; Ostreidae
Exons: 3
Source: RefSeq, a predicted model, not a curated record